Molecule: ribosomal RNA, 339 nt
Filed under: Triticum aestivum (bread wheat)
Lineage: Eukaryota; Viridiplantae; Streptophyta; Magnoliopsida; Poales; Poaceae
Description: partial small subunit ribosomal RNA
Source: RNAcentral
GGCCUAGUGCAAAACUUAAUACCAAAUGGGAUUAGUAUGUUACAAUAUGCAGAUGAUACUAUCUUUAUGUUUAAGGAUAAUUUGGAGAGUGCUAGGAACUUGAAAUUGAUUCUUUGUCUGUUUGAACAACUUUCAGGUCUCAAAGUUAACUUCCAUAAAAGUGAGGUUUUUUGUUUUGGUGAGGAUAAAGGGAAACAAGAGUGUUAUUCUAAUAUUUUCACUUGUGCUGUUGGUAAACUACCUUUUAAGUAUUUAGGGAUACCUAUUAAUGUUGUGAGGCUAUGUAAUAGUGAUUGGAAUUGGCCUAAGGAGAAGAUGGAGAAGAAAUUGAGUGUUUGG